RNAcentral lists this unclassified non-coding RNA (292 nucleotides) under Hevea brasiliensis (rubber tree). The record is from RNAcentral. Lineage: Eukaryota; Viridiplantae; Streptophyta; Magnoliopsida; Malpighiales; Euphorbiaceae.
UAAGAAGAAAGGGAAGAUUUAGGACAGAGGAGAAGAAGAAUUUAGAAGGAAAUUGUAAUGAAUUCUAGUAUUGCUCUCUCUAAAAUGGCUCAUAGUACAUUUUUAUCUGUAGUUUAAUCUCCCAAGUGUGAAUCAGUUACAAAAUAGAAUUCCUAACCACUUUAAUGUUGUUUCUGGUGGCAAGUUGGGGAAUUUUCCAUUAACUCUAUUUUUAACAAAGUAAAUCAUAUUUUAUAAAUCACUACUUUUGGAUGGAUAGAUAAAGGCCUAUCUUAUGGUAGAAAUAGUGAAG